UAUGGGUCAGUCUGUGUGGGUCACAGCCUUACUUAUGGGUCAGGGCCCCAUUUGUGGGUCAAAGCCCCACUUGUGGGGCAGAGACCCGCUUAUGGGGCAAAGCCUCACUUAUGGGGCAGAGCCCCACUUAUGGGUCAGUCUGUGUGGGUCAGAGCCUCACUUAUGGGGCAGAGCCCCACUUGUGGGUCAGUCUGUGUGGGUUAAUGCCCUACUUAUGGGUCAGAUCCCACUUGUGGGUCAGAUCCCACUUAUGGGUCAGGGCCCCACUUAUGGGUCACAGCCCCACUUAUGGGGCAGAGCUCCACUUGUGGGUCACACCUCCAUUUAUGGGUCACAGCCCCUGUGACCUAUGGGGCAAAGGCUGACCUAUGGGGCAGAGACGCAGCUAUGGGGCAGAGAUCCUCAUCUAUGGGGCGGAGACCCAUCUAUGGGGCAGAGACCCUCAUCUAUGGGGCAGAGAUCCUCAUCUAUGGGGUGGAGGCUCUGACCUGC
This 492-nucleotide long non-coding RNA is filed under the name Phasianus colchicus (ring-necked pheasant). Its description in RNAcentral is "lncRNA (ENSPCLG00000017625.1)". The record is from RNAcentral. Lineage: Eukaryota; Metazoa; Chordata; Aves; Galliformes; Phasianidae.